This 541-nucleotide ribosomal RNA is filed under the name uncultured bacterium. Its description in RNAcentral is "bacterial SSU rRNA". It matches the Rfam family "Bacterial small subunit ribosomal RNA", at positions 355 to 896 of the family's 1533-position model. The record is from RNAcentral.
UGAGGAAUAUUGGUCAAUGGGCGUAAGCCUGAACCAGCCAAGUAGCGUGCAGGAUGACGGCCCUAUGGGUUGUAAACUGCUUUUGAAGGGGAGUAAAGUGAGUGACUUGUCAUUCAUUGCAAGUACCCUUGGAAUAAGGACCGGCUAAUUCCGUGCCAGCAGCCGCGGUAAUACGGAAGGUCCGGGCGUUAUCCGGAUUUAUUGGGUUUAAAGGGAGCGUAGGCGGAAGUUCAAGUCAGUUGUGAAAGUCUGUGGCUUAACCAUAGAAUUGCAGUUGAAACUGAAUUUCUUGAGUGUAGAUAAGGAUGGUGGAAUUUGUGGUGUAGCGGUGAAAUGCAUAGAUAUCACGAAGAACUCCAAUUGCGAAGGCAGCCAUCCGGGCUACAACUGACGCUGAGGCUCGAAAGUGCGGGAAUCAAACAGGAUUAGAUACCCUGGUAGUCCGCACCGUAAACGAUGGAUACUCGUGGUUGGCGAUAAACAGUCAGUCACCAAGCGAAAGCGUUAAGUAUCCCACCUGGGGAGUACGCCGGCAACGGUG